This 468-nucleotide ribosomal RNA is filed under the name uncultured bacterium. Its description in RNAcentral is "partial 16S ribosomal RNA". It matches the Rfam family "Bacterial small subunit ribosomal RNA", at positions 28 to 507 of the family's 1533-position model. The record is from RNAcentral.
GACGAACGCUGGCGGCGUGCUUAACACAUGCCAGUCGAACGGAAAGGCCCUGCUUUUGUGGGGUGCUCGAGUGGCGAACGGGUGAGUAACACGUGAGUAACCUGCCCUUGACUUUGGGAUAACUUCAGGAAACUGGGGCUAAUACCGGAUAGGAGCUCCUGCUGCAUGGUGGGGGUUGGAAAGUUUCGGCGGUUGGGGAUGGACUCGCGGCUUAUCAGCUUGUUGGUGUGGUAGUUGCUUACCAAGGCUUUGACGGGUAGCCCGCCUGAGAGGGGGACCGGCGACCAUGGGCCUGAGAGACGGCCCAGAAGCCUACGGGAGGCAGCAGUCGGGAAUAUUGCACAAUGGGCGGAAGCCUGAUGCAGCAACGCCGCGUGCGGGAUGACGGCCUUCGGGUUGUAAACCGCUUUCGCCUGUGACGAAGCGUGAGUGACGGUAAUGGGUAAAGAAGCACCGGCUAACUACGUG